UGAGGAAUAUUGGUCAAUGGUCGGGAGACUGAACCAGCCAAGCCGCGUGAGGGAUGAAGGUGCUAAGCAUUGUAAACCUCUUUUGUCAGGGAACAAAGGCAUCCACGAGUGGGUGUGUGAGUGUACCUGAAGAAAAAGCAUCGGCUAACUCCGUGCCAGCAGCCGCGGUAAUACGGAGGAUGCGAGCGUUAUCCGGAUUUAUUGGGUUUAAAGGGUGCGUAGGCGGCCUGUUAAGUCAGCGGUAAAAGCCCGGGGCUCAACCCGGCGAGCGUUGAAACUGGCUGGCUGGAGUUGGCGAGAGGUAUGCGGAAUGCGCGGUGUAGCGGUGAAAUGCUUAGAUAUCACGCAGAACUCCGAUUGCGAAGGCAGCAUACCGGCGCCCAACUGACGCUGAAGCACGAAAGCGUGGGUAUCGAACAGGAUUAGAUACC
Molecule: ribosomal RNA, 431 nt
Filed under: uncultured bacterium
Lineage: Bacteria
Description: bacterial SSU rRNA
Rfam family: Bacterial small subunit ribosomal RNA
Source: RNAcentral